CCCCCUGCCCUGCCCCAUCUUUUCUCUCUACCUGUGAAGGAUGGGAAGUCGCUGGAGUAGACUCUGAACAGCUGGCUGGCUCAGAUGCCAGGGAAGAGCGUUCAGUUUAGAGCAGGGGUCAGGAAGGGCUUCCAGAGGAAGUAACGUCACGCUGAGCCCUCAAGGAUGACUUACAGGUAACUGGGCAAGGAGGGAACAGCACUUGCAAGGGCUGCAUGGCGGGAGGUGAUACGGAACAUUUGAGGACUGGAAGACAGCCAGGGUGGCCGGAGAGGAGCAAGUCUACCCAAGUCCAAGCGGGACUCGACUCAGGGGGAGAAUCUCAGACCCACGCCUACACCACCACCAGGAAGGAGGCCCUGAUUUUACCCUUCAUUUAAAAACACGCUUCUUUUGCACUUUGGAUUCUGUUUGGGGCAGGUGUUGGGGUGGGGACUUGAGAAACCAAACAAACCACACAAACCCGGUGCACAGCUAUGGGAAGAGGGGACACAGGAGACCUGUUGGUUAGGCACUGCUCUGGCUUGCAGCCCAUUAAAAACGUAAGCACCAACUACUGUGUCAGCAUUGAUGGCAUCUUCGAUGAGCACAAAACAGCCACAGGUGAAGAAGGUGGACCAGGAAGAGAGGACGGCCAGGCCUCCACCAGCUCACCCAUCACUGGGACAGUGGCUCCAGGUCUGGCUGCCAUGUGGAGACAAAAGGAAAGAGAAAUACCAGAGUCUUCAUGGAAGAGAGGGAGCAUGUCAAGGCCACGAGCCUUUGAAAGUAACCCCAUGGAGCAAAUCCAUCCUAAAAAAUUACCUUUGUUGGAUGCCGCAAACACGUCCACCCCGUCCACGGGCUGCCUUCUGCAGUGUCUUUCACAGGAGGUCUGUGCAGACCCCAGCCUGGUCCUCCAGCCCUGGACGUGCUGGCACAGCCAUUCUGAAGGUCACAGCGGCUCUGUGCCCAGAUCACACAUUCGUCUUCCAGAGUAAUUCCGGGCACCCAGGACUCCUGCUCUCUCGAUCUUCUCUUUUCAACAUCAUUCUGCCAGCAGCUUAGCAGAGAUGGAACUGCGAUGCGUUUCUCGGCUUAGUUCCACUGAACGCUGAGAUCCAGGUGCAAAUGAACACAGCCACGCUCCCAGGCCCCACAGACCCCCUCAUCUAACUGGUCCCUAAUGGUGGAAGGAGGGAUGGAACUUCCCCUUAUUAAAUAAACAGUUUUGGUGUU
RNAcentral lists this long non-coding RNA (1218 nucleotides) under Equus caballus (horse). Its description in RNAcentral is "lncRNA (ENSECAG00000057127.1)". The record is from RNAcentral. Lineage: Eukaryota; Metazoa; Chordata; Mammalia; Perissodactyla; Equidae.